Molecule: ribosomal RNA, 253 nt
Filed under: uncultured bacterium
Lineage: Bacteria
Description: partial 16S ribosomal RNA
Rfam family: Bacterial small subunit ribosomal RNA
Source: RNAcentral
UACGUAGGGGGCAAGCGUUGUCCGGAAUCAUUGGGCGUAAAGAGCGCGUAGGCGGCCCUGUAAGUCCGCUGUGAAAGUCAAGGGCUCAACCCUUGAAUGCCGGUGGAUACUGCAGGGCUAGAGUCCGGAAGAGGCGAGUGGAAUUCCUGGUGUAGCGGUGAAAUGCGCAGAUAUCAGGAGGAACACCGAUGGCGAAGGCAGCUCGCUGGGACGGUACUGACGCUGAGGCGCGAAAGCAUGGGUAGCGAACGGG